This 364-nucleotide ribosomal RNA is filed under the name uncultured eukaryote. RNAcentral describes it as "partial 18S ribosomal RNA". It matches the Rfam family "Eukaryotic small subunit ribosomal RNA", at positions 592 to 975 of the family's 1831-position model. The record is from RNAcentral.
CAAUAGCGUAUAUUUAAGUUGUUGCAGUUAAAAAGCUCGUAGUCGGAUUUUGGCUGAGAACGAACGGUCCGCCGUUAGGUGUGCACUGUUUGGUCUCAGCUUCCUGGUGAGGAGGUGUGCUUCACGGCCACUUAGUCACCGUGGUUACUUUGAAAAAAUUAGAGUGUUCAAAGCGGGCUUACGCUUGAAUAUAUUAGCAUGGAAUAACACCAUAGGACUCCUGUCCUAUUUCGUUGGUCUCGGGACGGGAGUAAUGAUUAAGAGGAACAGUUGGGGGCAUUCGUACUUCAUUGUCAGAGGUGAAAUUCUUGGAUUUAUGAAAGACGAACUUCUGCGAAAGCAUUUGCCAAGGAUGUUUUCAUUG